Long non-coding RNA from Myotis myotis, 388 nucleotides. RefSeq lists it as uncharacterized. The transcript is spliced from 3 exons. The record is from RefSeq and is a predicted model, not a curated record. NCBI's taxonomy places the organism in Eukaryota, Metazoa, Chordata, Mammalia, Chiroptera, Vespertilionidae.
CGUUAUCCCCAGGUUACUGAGGAGCCAGAGGUGGCCGGGAGCUCCAGGCUGAAAUUGUGCUGAGCUCUGGGGACUCUGGGAGAGAUUGGUGUGGGCGGUCCCAGAGCCACAGCCCUUCCCUGGCGCUUGCGGCUGGCCCCUAGGCAGGCCACUCGGCUCGACAGGAGGCACCUGCUUCAUCCAACCUUCCAGGACCCACCUGUGUCUCUAGGCCUCGCUCCUCAACUCUGGACGCCAGGGAGUACCAUCCAGAGUCUCUGAGAUCCUUCUCCAGAAAGAUCAGGUGGCCUUGCACGUCCCCCGAGCGCGGGUCCAGCUUCUCGUUGAGCUCCUUCACCUGCUGCACCAGGAUCUUGUUGAAGGCCUCGCCGUGGGGCUCCACGCUGCU